This 536-nucleotide ribosomal RNA is filed under the name Sporisorium sp. DMKU-SP319. RNAcentral's name for it is "LSU rRNA". It matches the Rfam family "Eukaryotic large subunit ribosomal RNA", at positions 132 to 649 of the family's 3401-position model. The record is from RNAcentral. Lineage: Eukaryota; Fungi; Basidiomycota; Ustilaginomycetes; Ustilaginales; Ustilaginaceae.
CGGCGUCCGCUUUGUAAUCUAAAGAAGUGUUUUCCGCUUCGGACCAUGCCUAAGUCCCUUGGAAAAGGGCAUCAUAGAGGGUGAUAAUCCCGUACAUGGCAUGGAGCGCCCGAGGCUUUGUGAUACGCUUUCUAAGAGUCGAGUUGUUUGGGAAUGCAGCUCAAAAUGGGUGGUAAAUGCCAUCUAAGGCUAAAUAUUGGGGAGAGACCGAUAGCGAACAAGUACAGUGAUGGAAAGAUGAAAAGAACUUUGAAAAGAGAGUUAAACAGUACGUGAAAUUGCCAAAAGGGAAGGGUAGGAGGUCAGAGAUGCGUCUUGGGAUUCAGCCUUGCUUUUGCUUGGUGUUUUUCCCAAGUUGCAGGCCAACGUCGGUUUUGGGCACUGGAGAAGGGUGGAAGGAACGUGGCACCUCUCGGGGUGUGUUAUAGCCUUCUACUGGAUACAGCGACCGAGACCGAGGACAGCAGCGUACUCGCAAGAGCGGGCCUUCGGGCACCUUUACGCUUAGGGCGUUGGCAUAAUGGCCCUCUACCACC